UAUAACCACAAAAUAUAUUCUUUCAAUACUAAUAAAAAAAAACAUUUGUCUAAGACUAUUGGAAUUCUCUUCAUUGCAUAGUUAAUUGGUUCCUAUAUAAAUGUGUCAAUCCUUCUAGGCAUUUCUUCACCUUUCACACCUGAUAAAUAUUUUGAUCAAGCAUCUAAGAGUGUUACCACAAUAUGUCUGCUUCUCAGGAUGGUGCCAACAAGUAAGUGUAUUGCUUUUGCAUUUCAUACAUUCAUGUGCACUGUUUUUGUUUGCAAUAGAUUUAAGCUAUUCUUUUCCUUACCGGGCAAGGAAAGCUGGAGAUCAUGCCGCAUAUAGUCUUUUAAACAACCUCAGCAAUGCGACAAAUGAUAGUAGUAUUAAAGUGUGCAUUGCUCGAAUGCGGUACAAUCUGCAUGUAUAUGACAAAAAACAGUUGAUUAGUAUUGACAUGGUGUUGAUUGAUGAAGAGGUAUCACUUUGUAUGGUAUUUUCGUAAAAAUUC
This 493-nucleotide long non-coding RNA is filed under the name Trifolium pratense (red clover). RNAcentral's name for it is "long non-coding RNA (TPRA_LNC004257)". Lineage: Eukaryota; Viridiplantae; Streptophyta; Magnoliopsida; Fabales; Fabaceae. The record is from RNAcentral.